RNAcentral lists this long non-coding RNA (1298 nucleotides) under Meleagris gallopavo (turkey). Its description in RNAcentral is "lncRNA (ENSMGAG00000017552.1)". The record is from RNAcentral. Lineage: Eukaryota; Metazoa; Chordata; Aves; Galliformes; Phasianidae.
AUGACCAGAAAGAUGUGCAAAGCAGAUAUAAAGGUACUUCAUGCACAACCCCAAGGCAAUGCCAGGAGCCUUAGCACAGUGGAUCCGAGAAGCACCAAACGCGAACGCCCCGCACCCGCUCGUCCCCGUCCCACCACCUCCAAGGCUCGGAGAUCCUUCCCGGAUCGCGAAGCCCAGAACGAUCCGGUGCCUCUCAGCGCAUUUCCCUCGGCUGCCGUCGGGACCGCCGCAGCCCGGCUCUGCCCGCACUCUCGGCUUUGGUUGUGUCGGAGCCUCCGCUCCCAGCGAGGUUCUUUGAGAAUAAAAGAGUGCGUUUGUGCCCAUUAUUCAUAUCUCGGGAGUCCCGGGCCUUCACUACGUUAAAAGAGCCCCGAACGGACAAUUCGCCGUCCGCAGAUAUUAUAUCUGUGAAACGCGCCUUUGUCGGAGCUUUUAACACCUUCUUAUAACGAAUCAUUUGUUCUUUUCUCUUUAAUUUUGAUAGACAAUUAGCCAUCAAAUAUACACCAGUUGACUGUAACCGAGCAUUAAAGUGCCCUUUAUUUAACGCUAAUUUAGCAUGGCCGCUUUGUUUCACUUUGCCAUCCGCGGACCAGGUUUUGUGGCACAAAUAGGUGCAAUUUGGGGGCUCCCCGUCCCUCCCGGCCGCGGAGCUGCGCUUUGUGCCGCGGAGCGGGGCCGCACCGCGCCGAGCGGCACCUGGAGCCGGGGCAUUAGCAUUGAUAUGGAGUUAGUUGCGAUGUAAUCUCCUAAAUCUGCCCGAGAUUCGGGGAGAUAAUUACACUUUCGCUGAAUUGCCAGGGGUCAGCGUCUCUGUGGACCUGAGGAGUUGAUUUACUAACAAUGGUGUUACAUAAAAAAUGGUGUUUGAGAUUAUAAUGUUAAUGGAUGCAGCCACUGGGGAAAGCGGGCGGGCUCGGCUCAUUCGAUGGAACUCGCUUCGUGCUUUACACCGAUUCAAAUCACAGCAGCAUUUAAUUUAGAGGAACGAGUUCGGCGGUAAUUACAGCGCGCGGAAAGGUCGCGGAGCCGGAGGAGGGGGUUUGCCCCAGGUUGGGACGCGGGGUUCUGCGGAUCGGAGCUGCCUGAGCCUGUGCCCGGCCGCAGCCGUGGGGCCGCAGCUCUGCGUUUGGCAUCGUGGGCCCAGCAGAAACCGGCUCGGAAUAUGAAGAAGAAUUAAAAGAAAAAUGAAAUGAAAUAAAAUAAACAAAUAGGUAGAUAAAUAAAUAAAAAGGAGAGAAGAGAGAGGAGAGGAAAAAAAAGGAGAGGAGAGGAGAGGAGAGGAGAGGAGAGGAGAG